UUUCCGUAGGUGAACCUGCGGAAGGAUCAUUAUUAAAAGUAUAAGAGUGCACUUCAUUGUGGCUUGAACCCUUUUAAAACACACAUUAACCCUAUAAACCCAAAGUUGUCUAGUGUGCUUCGGUAUAGCUUUUCAACAGUAUGUUUCAUUCGUCUUUUCGGGUGUUCGAUUAUCCCCCUUUAUAAGUGACCUCCUUAUUUUUUGAAAUCAUUAUAACACAUAAAGUUUUAAGAAUGCAAACCCCCUAAUAUAUAACUUUUAACAAUGGAUCUCUCGGCUCUCACAUCGAUGAAGUACACAGUGAAUUGUGAAAUGUAAUGUGAAUUGCAGAAUUCAGUGAACCAUCGAAUCUUUGAACGCACCUUGCACCUUUUGGUAUUCCAUAAGGUACACCUGUUUGAGUGUCAUGAAACCCUCUCGUCCACAUUCUUUAUUUGACUAAGGAGUUGUGUGACGGAUGUUGAGCGCUGCCGUAAUUGGCUCGCUUUAAAUAUAUAAGUACUUUUAUUGAUAAAUAAAUGGAGAUAUACUUGAUGUAAUAAUAUUAUUUUAUUCAUUGAGGAGUGCGACUGUAAAAAGGUUGCAGCCAUUUGAGUUUUGAUAAAUAGCUUCCUAAACCCAUGUUAUUCAUAACACAUUUAGACCUCAAAUCAGGUGGGAUUACCCGCUGAACUUAAGCAUAUCAAUAAGCGGAGG
Molecule: ribosomal RNA, 696 nt
Filed under: Thekopsora lanpingensis
Lineage: Eukaryota; Fungi; Basidiomycota; Pucciniomycetes; Pucciniales; Coleosporiaceae
Description: eukaryotic LSU rRNA
Rfam family: 5.8S ribosomal RNA (bases 254-407)
Source: RNAcentral